UACGUAGGGGGCGAGCGUUGUCCGGAAUCAUUGGGCGUAAAGCGCAUGUAGGCGGCUCGGUAAGUCUGCUGUGAAAGUCCAGGGCUCAACCCUGGGAUGCCGGCCGAUACUGUCGGACUAGAGUCCGGAAGAGGCAAGUGGAAUUCCCGGUGUAGCGGUGAAAUGCGCAGAUAUCGGGAGGAACACCAAUUGCGAAGGCAGCUUGCUGGGACGGUACUGACGCUGAGGCGGCGAAAGCGUGGGGAGCAAACAGG
This 254-nucleotide ribosomal RNA is filed under the name uncultured bacterium. RNAcentral describes it as "partial 16S ribosomal RNA". It matches the Rfam family "Bacterial small subunit ribosomal RNA", at positions 524 to 776 of the family's 1533-position model. The record is from RNAcentral.